CUGUAGCUAUCAUUGAAAAUCGAUUCAAAAUCUAAGAACCUAAUAAAUACUUGUGUAUGUAUUAUCAAAAGCAGUGGGAUGCUUACAAUGAUACAUUACAACAAGUAGGCAAAGGUAACUGUUUUAUUAAACCGUAAGCUGCGCCUUCAUUCGGUCCGUACUUACGUAAUCGAAAACACAGAGAGUGAAAAUCAAGCGUAAUCCUACUUUCGUUGGCGAGAGAAGAAGCGCCUCCCGGCACUUUUGCCAUGGCCGUGGAUCAACCGACUAACGGCCGACCUUCCACCGUUGUGCAAGUCUUCUCGAAUACGAGGUCACUGAGAUCUACGCACAUAUAUAAUAGCAUAAUGAAAUCAUGAUGUCUGAGAUGCAAAGUUAAAACGGCGAGAAUAACGUUAGUGUAAACGGUACACCCAUGAACUGUUAUCCUUGCCGAGGUACUGAUGAGGGGACCCACUGGCCCAACGAUCAACUCGACUCUCAGUUCGCUCAACAAUGUCGUUUCGUCAACACUUUCGAAAAGUAUCUUUCAUCGCUAUAUUAGUUGUCUUAUUUUCAGAGAUGCAAUUGAAUCCUCUAUACGAGAUCUGUUGGCAUUGGUAACCAGUAAAAGAGGCAGACGACAGCAGAGAAUCAAGAAUACCGGUCGGACGAACAUAGAAGCGGGUGAGAGUGGGACAAAGAUAAAAAAAGAAAAAGCAACAGCGAGAGGGAAAGGGAGGGAAAAGAGGAAGACAGAGAAUAGUAACGCAGAAUGCCCGGACAACGCUCCCGUGGAGCUGGGGCCAACUAACGGUCCACACCACCACCAUUGGGACCAUCGACUUCGAUGGUCCUCAUCCUUCUCCUUCUUCUCUUCCAUUCGUCUUUCAUUUAUUCGUUUUUCUUUCCUCUUUUGCCUCUUUGAUGUUUCCACAAUAUGCAUUUUAAAAAGU
This is an RNA transcript of Apis dorsata (giant honeybee), 935 nucleotides long. RefSeq lists it as uncharacterized. The record is from RefSeq and is a predicted model, not a curated record. The transcript has 3 exons. NCBI's taxonomy places the organism in Eukaryota, Metazoa, Arthropoda, Insecta, Hymenoptera, Apidae.